This 295-nucleotide ribosomal RNA is filed under the name uncultured Desulfobulbus sp. Its description in RNAcentral is "partial 16S ribosomal RNA". It matches the Rfam family "Bacterial small subunit ribosomal RNA", at positions 1089 to 1382 of the family's 1533-position model. The record is from RNAcentral. Lineage: Bacteria; Pseudomonadati; Thermodesulfobacteriota; Desulfobulbia; Desulfobulbales; Desulfobulbaceae.
GCAACGAGCGCAACCCUUGCCUUUAGUUGCCAGCAGUUCGGCUGGGCACUCUAAAGGGACUGCCGGUGUUAAACCGGAGGAAGGUGGGGAGUGACGUCAAGUCCUCAUGGCCUUUAUGACCAGGGCUACACACGUACUACAAUGGCCGAUACAAAGGGCAGCGACACUGCGAGGUGAAGCCAAUCCCGUAAAAAUCGGUCUCAGUCCGGAUUGGAGUCUGCAACUCGACCCCAUGAAGUUGGAAUCGCUAGUAAUCGUGGAUCAGCAUGCCACGGUGAAUACGUUCCCGGGCCUU